GCGGGUGUGGCGGAACUGGCAGACGCAGGGGUCUUAAAAACCCCGGCUCCGGCGUGUGGGUUCGAGUCCCACCACCCGCA
RNAcentral lists this transfer RNA (80 nucleotides) under Candidatus Dormiibacterota bacterium. RNAcentral's name for it is "tRNA-Leu". It matches the Rfam family "tRNA". From Rfam's summary of the family: Transfer RNA (tRNA) molecules are approximately 80 nucleotides in length. Their secondary structure includes four short double-helical elements and three loops (D, anti-codon, and T loops). RNAcentral also lists the same sequence under 1 other name. The record is from RNAcentral. Lineage: Bacteria; Bacillati; Candidatus Dormiibacterota.